UACGUAGGUGGCAAGCGUUGUCCGGAAUAACUGGGCGUAAAGGAUGCGUAGGCGGUUAAACAAGUUAUAUGUUAAAUAUAUAGGCUUAACCUGUAGAAAGCAUAUAAAACUGUUUAACUAGAGUGCAGGAGAGGUAAGUGGAAUUCCUAGUGUAGCGGUGAAAUGCGUAGAGAUUAGGAAGAACACCAGUGGCGAAGGCGACUUACUGGACUGUAACUGACGCUGAGGCAUGAGAGCAUGGGGAGCAAACAGG
RNAcentral lists this ribosomal RNA (253 nucleotides) under uncultured bacterium. RNAcentral's name for it is "partial 16S ribosomal RNA". It matches the Rfam family "Bacterial small subunit ribosomal RNA", at positions 524 to 776 of the family's 1533-position model. The record is from RNAcentral.